Molecule: small RNA, 62 nt
Filed under: Klebsiella pneumoniae
Lineage: Bacteria; Pseudomonadati; Pseudomonadota; Gammaproteobacteria; Enterobacterales; Enterobacteriaceae
Also listed under: 1 other name
Description: partial RtT sRNA
Rfam family: RtT RNA
About the family: This family represents a bacterial cis-regulatory element known as RtT RNA. The exact function of RtT is unknown although it is thought that it may be involved in changing the cellular response in relation to amino acid starvation.
Source: RNAcentral
UAUUCUGCCCCAUGGGGAAGGAUGAGAAGCUUCGACUAAGGUUCGACUCGAGCGAAGCGAGA